AAUUUUAAAAUAAUAUUAUUUUGCAUCCUGACCUAUACAGGCCUCUGCUAUGGGGGUGAUGGCCUGUCCUGGUGUCUGAGUGAUU
Pipistrellus kuhlii (Kuhl's pipistrelle) is the source of this 85-nucleotide small nucleolar RNA. RefSeq annotates it as small nucleolar RNA SNORD86. The record is from RefSeq and is a predicted model, not a curated record. The transcript has a single exon. NCBI's taxonomy places the organism in Eukaryota, Metazoa, Chordata, Mammalia, Chiroptera, Vespertilionidae.